Molecule: ribosomal RNA, 857 nt
Filed under: uncultured Acidobacteriota bacterium
Lineage: Bacteria; Pseudomonadati; Acidobacteriota
Description: bacterial SSU rRNA
Rfam family: Bacterial small subunit ribosomal RNA
Source: RNAcentral
CAAGUCGAACGCGCAGCAUUCUGUAGCAAUACAGGGUGUGGGCGCGUGGCGAACGGGUGCGUAACACGUGGAUAACCUUCCUUGAGGUGGGGAAUAACCCAGUGAAAAUUGGGCUAAUACCGCAUAACAUCGCGAUGGCACAUGCUGAUGCGAUCAAAGGCGCAAGUCGCCACAAGAGGGAUCCGCGGCCGAUUAGCUUGUUGGCGAGGUAAUGGCUCACCAAGGCAAUGAUCGGUAGCCGGACUGAGAGGUUGGCCGGCCACACUGGAACUGAGACACGGUCCAGACUCCUACGGGAGGCAGCAGUGGGGAAUCUUGCACAAUGGACGAAAGUCUGAUGCAGCAACGCCGCGUGGGGGAUGAAGCUUCUCGGAGUGUAAACCCCUUUCGACCCGGAAGAAUGCCCGCAAGGGUAUGACGGUACGGGUAUAAGAAGCCCCGGCUAACUACGUGCCAGCAGCCGCGGUAAUACGUAGGGGGCCAGCGUUGCUCGGAAUUACUGGGCGUAAAGGGUCCGUAGGCGGUGUAGCAAGUCGAUAGUGAAAUCUCUGGGCUUAACCCAGAGGCUGCUAACGAAACUGCUGUGCUAGAGUGUGAGAGAGGCGAGUGGAAUUACGGGUGUAGCGGUGAAAUGCGUAGAUAUCCGUAGGAACAUCCGAGGCGAAGGCGGCUCGCUGGAUCACAACUGACGCUGAGGGACGAAAGCUAGGGGAGCAAACAGGAUUAGAUACCCUGGUAGUCCUAGCCCUAAACCAUCAGGACUUGGGGUUUGCCCUGUACGGGGCAAGUCCCGUAGCUAACGCGUUAAGUCCUGCGCCUGGGGAGUACGGUCGCAAGGCUGAAACUCAAAGGAAUUG